RNAcentral lists this ribosomal RNA (425 nucleotides) under uncultured prokaryote. RNAcentral describes it as "bacterial SSU rRNA". It matches the Rfam family "Bacterial small subunit ribosomal RNA", at positions 355 to 796 of the family's 1533-position model. The record is from RNAcentral.
UGGGGAAUAUUGCGCAAUGGGCGAAAGCCUGACGCAGCAACGCCGCGUGGGGGAUGAAGGCCUUCGGGUUGUAAACCCCUUUCAGCAGGGACGAAAAUGACGGUACCUGCAGAAGAAGCCCCGGCCAACUACGUGCCAGCAGCCGCGGUAACACGUAGGGGGCAAGCGUUGUCCGGAUUUAUUGGGCGUAAAGAGCUCGUAGGCGGUUGCGUAAGUCGGAUGUGAAAACUCAGGGCUCAACCCGGAGACGCCAUCCGAUACUGCGCUGACUAGAGUCCGGUAGAGGAGCAUGGAAUUCCUGGUGUAGCGGUGAAAUGCGCAGAUAUCAGGAGGAACACCAGUGGCGAAGGCGGUGCUCUGGGCCGGAACUGACGCUGAGGAGCGAAAGCGUGGGUAGCGAACAGGAUUAGAUACCCCCGUAGUCC